Molecule: non-coding RNA, 88 nt
Organism: Mycena rebaudengoi
Lineage: Eukaryota; Fungi; Basidiomycota; Agaricomycetes; Agaricales; Mycenaceae
Source: the annotation of a GenBank genome assembly
ACCCUGGUUGAUUAAUGGUAACCUCUUGACUAGAAAACUGUCGAGCAGAUUUAUGUGAGAGACCGAGGUUCGAAUCCUCCCCAGGGCA